RNAcentral lists this ribosomal RNA (497 nucleotides) under uncultured bacterium. RNAcentral describes it as "partial 16S ribosomal RNA". It matches the Rfam family "Bacterial small subunit ribosomal RNA", at positions 28 to 507 of the family's 1533-position model. The record is from RNAcentral.
GGCGAACGCUGGCGGCGUGCCUAAUACAUGCAAGUUGAGCGCUGAAGGUUGGUACUUGUACCAACUGGAUGAGCAGCGAACGGGUGAGUAACGCGUGGGGAAUCUGCCUUUGAGCGGGGGACAACAUUUGGAAACGAAUGCUAAUACCGCAUAAAAACUUUAAACACAAGUUUUAAGUUUGAAAGAUGCAAUUACAUCACUCAAAGAUGAUCCCGCGUUGUAUUAGCUAGUUGGUGAGGUAAAGGCUCACCAAGGCGAUGAUACAUAGCCGACCUGAGAGGGUGAUCGGCCACAUUGGGACUGAGACACGGCCCAAACUCCUACGGGAGGCAGCAGUAGGGAAUCUUCGGCAAUGGACGAAAGUCUGACCGAGCAACGCCGCGUGAGUGAAGAAGGGUUUCGGAUCGUAAAACUCUGUUGGUAGAGAAGAACGUUGGUGAGAGUGGAAAGCUCAUCAAGUGACGGUAACUACCCAGAAAGGGACGGCUAACUACGUG